Molecule: ribosomal RNA, 405 nt
Filed under: uncultured bacterium
Lineage: Bacteria
Description: partial 16S ribosomal RNA
Rfam family: Bacterial small subunit ribosomal RNA
Source: RNAcentral
AUUGAACGCUAGCGGGAUGCUUUACACAUGCAAGUCGAACGAGUGGCGGACGGGUGAGUAAUAUAUCGGAACGUGCCCAGUAGCGGGGGAUAACUCCUCGAAAGAGAGGCUAAUACCGAUCACUAUUGGAGCGGCCGAUAUCGGAUUAGCUAGUUGGUGGGGUAAAGGCUAACCAAGGAAAGAAUCCGUAGCGGGUUUGAGAGGACGACCAGCCAAACUGGGACUGAGACACGGCCCAGACUCCUACGGGAGGCAGCAGUGGGGAAUUUUGGACAAUGGGGGAAACCCUGAUGCAGCCAUCCCGCGUGUAUGAGAAGGCCUUCGGGUUGUAAAGUACUUUUGGCAGAGAAGCGGUAUCUGCAGAAGAAGCACCGGCUAACUACGUGCCAGCAGCCGCGGUAAUAC